AGUUUUAUAUUCUAAUUUAAGGAUUUAAAAUUGCAAUUUUUAAGGUAUAAAAUUUUAUUUAUUAAGACUU
RNAcentral lists this transfer RNA (70 nucleotides) under Cheumatopsyche charites. RNAcentral's name for it is "tRNA-Cys". Lineage: Eukaryota; Metazoa; Arthropoda; Insecta; Trichoptera; Hydropsychidae. The record is from RNAcentral.